Molecule: non-coding RNA, 3179 nt
Organism: Callithrix jacchus (white-tufted-ear marmoset)
Lineage: Eukaryota; Metazoa; Chordata; Mammalia; Primates; Cebidae
Source: RefSeq, a predicted model, not a curated record
UUUCUUGCCUACUAAUAACAAUUAUUUGCUUUAUGUAUUUUUAUAUACUAUAAUUCUGGAGUGAAUAUUCCUAUUCUGUUUAAAAUUGAGUGUAUCUUGCUAUAAUACAUGGUAGUAGAAGAUUUAGUGACAGUCUUUUUUGUCAAAUUAUACUUUAAGUUAUGGGGUUCAUGUGUAGAAUGUGCAGGUUUGUUUCAUAGCAUAAUGGUGAUUUGCUGCACCCAUCAUCCUGUCAUCUGCAUUAGGUAUUUCAAAGCUAAUGCUAUCCCUCUCCAGCCCUCCACCCACCGAUAGGCUCUGGUAUGUAAUAUUCCCCUCCCUAUAUCCACAUAACUCCCACUUAUGAGUGACAACAUGUGGCGUGUGGUUUUCUGUUCUUGUGUUAGUUUGUUGAGAAUGAUUGUUUUCAGCUUUAUCCAUGUCCCUGCAGAGAACAAGAACUCAUUUUUUUGAUAGCUGCAUAGUAUUCCAUGGUAUAUAUGUGUCACAUUUUCUUUAUCCAGUCCAUCAUCGAUGGGCAUUUGGGUUGGUUCCAAGUCUUUGCUAUGUGAACAGGGCUUAGAUAAUCAUAUGUGUGCAUGUGUCUUUACAAAAGAAUGAUUUACAAAUUUUGGGUAUAUACCCAGUAAUGGGAUUGCCAGGUCAAAUAGUAUUUCUGGUUCUAGAUCCUUGAGGAAUCACCACACUGUCUUCUACAAUGGUUGAACUAAUUGAUACUCCCACCAACAGUGUAAAAGCAUUCCUAUUUCUCCACAUGCUCUCCAGCAUCUCUUGUCUCCUGAUUUUUUUAAUGAUCGCCAUUCUAACUGACAUGGGAUGGUAUCUCAUUGUGAUUUUGUUUGCAUUUCUCUAAUGACCAGUGAUGAUAAGCUUUUUUUCGUAUGUUUGUUAGCUGCAUAAAUGUCUUCCUUUGAGAAGUGUCUGUUCGCUUCCUUCACCCAUUCUUUUGAUGAGGUUGUUUGUGUUUUUCCUGUAAAUUUAAGUUCUCCAUAGAUUCUGGAUAUUAGCCCUUUGUCAGAUGGGUAGAGUGCAAAACUUAUUUCCCAUUCUGUUGGUUGCCGGUUCACUCUAUUGAUAGAGUGAACUGUCUUCAGAUGCAUUUAGAAUAUUUGCAUAAAAGAAAAUUUGACCGUGGCUGCUCCAGGAACUACUGGAAGCAGAAAGACAGCUGGAAUUAAGAUAAACCACACUGACUCAUUACUUCUCUUUGUUACUGUUAGGCAACAGAGAUACAUUUUUUUUUUUUAAGUUAUAAAAAUGAGAUAAACUUGAAUACAAAUACAUUGUUGUUUAAGGAGCUAACUCUUGGAUAAAAUAGCUAUUUAAUGCAAAUUCUUUAGAAAAUAAUAUGAUACUUCAAACAAGAUAUUUAGAAAUAAAAGUAUUGUUGAAUUCAUUAAUUUACUCUAAAAUUGUUUUUUUCAAUGAAUAUCGAAAAAAUUUUUCCACACACACCUUUGUCUGUGAACUCGGUCGCAUGUGGUUCUUGCAUGACGGUCCCCGGCUCUGGCUGCCUGGUUCGGCCCUGAAGGCCAGGUUGGUGCACACCAGCGGCGGUGGAUGGGCGGCCCGGGAUCUCAGGACUGGCUGCUGGUGGGAUGGACACCCUGGAGGAGGCAACUUAGGCCAAUGGGAGCACAGCACUGCUCCCACCCCUGGCGCCAAACAUCAGUGUACCUCAUCGCUGCCUGCUGCUGCUCUACGAAGACAUUGGCACCUCUAGGGUCCAGUACUGGGACCUCAUGCUGCUCAUCCCCAAUGUGCUCUUCCUCAUCUUCCUGCUCGCGAAGCUUCCAUCUGUUCGGGCCAAGAUCCGCAUGACCUCCAGCCCCAUUUUUAUUACCUUCUACAUCCUGGUGUUCGUGGUGGCGCUGGUAGGCGUUGGCUGGGCCGUGGUGUCCAUGACGGUGAGCACCUCGGAUGCUUCAACUGUUGCUGAUAAGAUGCUGUGGGAGAUCACCUGCUUCCUCCUGCUGGCAUCGAGCUGAGUGUGAUCAUCCUGGGUCUGGCCUUCGGCCACCUGGAGAACAAGUACAGCAUCAAGCAGGUGCUGGCCAUCACCAUGGUGUUGUCCCUGGCCUAUUCUGUCACCCAGGGGACCCUGGAGACCCUGUACCCUGAUGCCCAUCUCUCAGCUGAGGACUUUAACAUCUAUGGCCAUGGGGGCCGCCAGUUCUGGCCGGUCAGCUCCUGCUGCUUCUUCCUGGUAUACUCUGGUGGUCAUCCUCCCCAAGACCCGGCUGAAGGAGUGCAUUUUCCUGCCUUCUUGGAGGAGCUUCUACGUGUAUGCGGGCAUCCCGGCGCUGCUCAACCUGCUACAGGGGCUGGGGAGUGUGCUGCUGUGCUUGGACAUCAUCGAGGGGCUCUGCUGUGUAGACACCACAACCUUCCUAUACUUCAGUUUUUUUCGUGCUGCUCAUCUAUGUGGCCUUCCUCCGGAGCUUCUUCCUCUCGGAACCCAAGAUCCUCUUCUCCUACAAAUGCCAAGUGGAUGAGACAGAGGAGCCAGACAUACAGCUACCCCAGCCCUACGCUGUGGCCCAGCAGGAGGGCCUGGAGGCUGCAGGGGCUGCUGGGUCCUCAGCUGCCAGUUACUCGAGCACGCAGUUCGACUCUGCUGGUGGGGUGGCCUACCUGGACGACAUCGCUUCCAUGCCCUGCCGUACUGGCAGCAUCAACAGCACGGACAGUGAGCGUUGGGAGGCCAUCAAUGCCUUAGAAUGGCUGUUGGGGCCUGCAGAGGACAGGCCAGAGAGGAGGUCAGAGGGCCCAGAGUCCCUGGGGGAGGAAGACCAGGUCACAGGACCUGUGGGUGGUAGCCCUGUGCGGCUCUGUUCCCAUCAUGAGUCUGGAGGCCCCCACCUCCCUGGGGCUCCUGAUACCCUUUGCCAUCUCUGCUUUCACUGGGGACCCUCCUCCCCUUCCCACCUACUCUCAUCCUGCUUAGCCACAUGGCCCAGGCUUUCCUUCCAGGGCCAUGCUUGGCAAGGCUGGCCAAGGGCACCGUCCUUCUCUGCACCCUUGGCACAAGGGCAGGGCUGGCUCUCCCAAUGCCUCCAUCCCGUCUCCAUGGUGCUUUGGCCUCCUCAAAGCCCACCAUGGUGGAUGUACUGAAGUGUGUAUAUUUUCUUGAUCUGUUUUUUAAUAAAAAGGAAAAGGAACAGAAAAAAAAAAAAAAA